AGUGUAGGAGUGAAAGGCCAAUCAAACUUGGAGAUAGCUCGUACUCCCCGAAAUGCAUUUAGGUGCAGCCUCUGAUAAGAACGUAUGAGGUAGAGCGACUGAUUGGAUGCGAGGGCUUCACCGCCUGUCAAGUCCUGACAAACUCCGAAUGCCUUGAGAUGAUCCCCGGCAGUGAGGGCGCGGGUGCUAAGGUCCACGUCCGAGAGGAGAACAAUCCAGACCGUCAGCUAAGGCCCCGAAAGGGCAGUUAAGUUGGACUAACGAAGUGCGGUCGCAGAGACAGCUAGGAUGUUGGCUCGGAAGCAGCCAUUCAUUCAAAGAGUGCGUAACAGCUCACUAGUCGAGCGACCGUGCAUGGAUAAUAAGCGGGCAUGAAACUGUCUGCCGAAGCUGCGGAUUAAUGGUAGGGGAGCAUUCCGGCUGCAUAGAAGGCCCUCCGCGAGGAGAGCUGGAGCGCCCGGAAAAGCAAAUGUAGGAAUGAGUAACGACAAGGGGGGCGAGAGGCCCCCCCGCCGAAAGACCAAGGGUUCCUGAUCAACGCUAGUCGGAUCAGGGUGAGUCUGGGACUAAGGAUAAGGCGAGAGCCGAAGCCGAUGGCAGAUCCGGUCAAUAUUCCGGAACCUGUCUUGCGGGCGAAGCGGGGACGAAGCGAGCAAGGUGCGGCCCGGUGACGGAUAUCCGGGUUGAAGGCGGAAGGCGACGAUCGGUACAGGCAAAUCCGUACCGAGAGCCGGAAACCGAGAGUACGCCGACCCUCCGGGGGAGGCGAUAAGCACCGGAAGCGCUUCCAAGAAAAACCGCUAAGCAUAACCGCUGGACAGCCAGUACCGAAAACCGACACAGGUGGUCCGGUAGAGAAUACCAAGGCGUAUGGGAGAUUCACGGUUAAGGAACUAGGCAAAAUAGCCCCGUAACUUCGGGAAAAGGGGCGCCAGCGCGAGCUGGCCGCAGAAAAAUGGCUCAGGCGACUGUUUAACAAAAACACAGGGCUAUGCGAAAACGAGAGUUGAAGUAUAUGGCCUGACACCUGCCCGGUGCUGGAAGGUCAAGGGGAGACGUCACGCGCAAGCGGAAGCGUUGAGCCGAAGCCCCAGUAAACGGCGGCCGUAACUAUAACGGUCCUAAGGUAGCGAAAUUCCUUGUCGGGUAAGUUCCGACCUGCACGAAUGGUGUAACGAUCUGGGCACUGUCUCAGCUGUGAGCUCGGUGAAAUUGUAGUAUCGGUGAAGAUGCCGAUUACCCGCAACGGGACGGAAAGACCCCGUGAACCUUUACUGCAACUUAGCGUUGGAUCUGGGGAAGCGAUGUGUAGGAUAGGCCGGAGGCUUGGAGCCGGUGGCGCCAGCCAUCGGGGAGCCGCUGUUGAAAUACGGCCCUUUGCUUGUCCGGGUUCUAACCCCGAAGAGGGGGACAGCGCUUGGCGGGUAGUUUGACUGGGGUGGUCGCCUCCAAAAGCGUAACGGAGGCUUCUAAAGGUGCCCUCACGGCGAUUGGUAACCGCCGUUAGAGUGUAAUGGCAUAAGGGCGCUUGACUGGGAGACUGACAAGUCGAUCAGGUAGGAAACUAGAGCAUAGUGAUCCGGUGUUUCCGUAUGGAAGGGACAUCGCUCAAAGGAUAAAAGGUACUCCGGGGAUAACAGGCUGAUCCCUCCCAAGAGCUCAUAUCGACGGAGGGGUUUGGCACCUCGAUGUCGGCUCGUCACAUCCUGGGGCUGGAGAAGGUCCCAAGGGUUCGGCUGUUCGCCGAUUAAAGUGGCACGCGAGCUGGGUUCAGAACGUCGUGAGACAGUUCGGUCCCUAUCUGUUGCGGGCGUUGGAGAUUUGAGCGGAGCUGGCACUAGUACGAGAGGACCGUGCCGGACCGACCGCUGGUGAACCGGUUGCGCCGCCAGGUGCAUGGCCGGGUAGCCAAGUCGGGUCAGGAUAAGCGCUGAAAGCAUCUAAGCGCGAAGCCGUCCGCGAGAUGAGAUCUCCCUUGA
RNAcentral lists this ribosomal RNA (1979 nucleotides) under metagenome. RNAcentral's name for it is "bacterial LSU rRNA". It matches the Rfam family "Bacterial large subunit ribosomal RNA", at positions 812 to 2819 of the family's 2925-position model. The record is from RNAcentral.